RNAcentral lists this ribosomal RNA (382 nucleotides) under uncultured Methanosaeta sp. Its description in RNAcentral is "bacterial SSU rRNA". It matches the Rfam family "Archaeal small subunit ribosomal RNA", at positions 962 to 1338 of the family's 1478-position model. The record is from RNAcentral. Lineage: Archaea; Methanobacteriati; Methanobacteriota; Methanomicrobia; Methanotrichales; Methanotrichaceae.
AAGACCUUACCCGACUUUAGCUGAGAGGUGGUGCAUGGCCGUCGUCAGUUCGUACUGUGAAGCAUCCUCGUUUAAGUCAGGCAACGAGCGAGACCCACGUCCACAGUUGCCAGCAUACCCUCCGGGGUGGAUGGGUACACUGUGGAGACCGCCGCUGCUAAAGCGGAGGAAGGAGUGGGCAACGGUAGGUCAGUAUGCCCCGAAUCUCCCGGGCUACACGCGGGCUACAAUGGUUGGUACAAUGGGCAUCUACCCCGAAAGGGGAAGGAAAUCUCUUAAAGCCAAUCGUAGUUCGGAUUGAGGGCUGCAACUCGCCCUCAUGAAGCUGGAAUCCGUAGUAAUCGCGUUUCAACAGAACGCGGUGAAUACGUCCCUGCUCCUU